This 50-nucleotide small nucleolar RNA is filed under the name Pyrobaculum aerophilum str. IM2. RNAcentral describes it as "PAEsR49". Lineage: Archaea; Thermoproteati; Thermoproteota; Thermoprotei; Thermoproteales; Thermoproteaceae. The record is from RNAcentral.
GUGACGAAAUGCGCCUCGCCUGAUUUGUGACGAUCGUCACGGCACACUGA